AAAAAAAAGGAGAACUGGACAAGUCACACAAUUGCACACAGAGGAAGGAGCUGAGGGCUAAGCUAGGCUGAAGCUAGCUCCCUCGUGUCUGGAGUGGAUUACCUUGAGUCGCACGGGAGCAGACGGUGUUGCCGAGGGAGAUCCAGCACUAACCUGCGUGGGAGGACGACAGCGCAGUGGGGAUUCCGUGAGCAGACGUCUUGUGUUCCCUGAAGGUCAGUGCUGGUCCGUUCACUCUGUUGGCUCACGUUGUCCUGUGUGAGUAAUCUCCAGUCAUGCACCAGUUCCCCUCACCAAGAUCCAGCGCUUUUAUAUUUACCUGUGCUCCACGCCACUGCCGGGCCAGCACCUAUACCUCUCACUCAUCUACCUGUCCCCCUCGAUUACAACUUGCCUUCACUUGCUGCCAUCUGGUCACCUCCAGUCCUGCAACCUCCACUCACCCGGGCCUCUCACCCCCACCUGGAUAUGCCAGCUCCAGCAAAAUUUCCACUCAGCUUCCCUUCUGCCAGCAAUGCCGAUCCAACAUCAGCAACCUAACAGGACAAGUACAGACUUCAGCGGACAG
Monopterus albus (swamp eel) is the source of this 568-nucleotide long non-coding RNA. RefSeq lists it as uncharacterized. The record is from RefSeq and is a predicted model, not a curated record. NCBI's taxonomy places the organism in Eukaryota, Metazoa, Chordata, Actinopteri, Synbranchiformes, Synbranchidae. The transcript has 4 exons.